CACAGGUUCCCCCUUCCUGUUUGUGAACACAUCAGGUCGUCAUGGCGGUCAACGUGCUCAGCUGCUGCUGCCCCCCCUCAAAGAGAACGACACGCACUGCGUCAGCUUCCUGUUCUACCAGGGGGGGGGGCGUGAGGGCGCUACACCCGCCACGCUCAACGUCUACAUCAAAGAGAACAACAGUCCUCUGGGAAUUCCCGUCUACAACUCGUCAGGCCCCGCCUACCAUAUCUGGAAGGGGGUGGAGCUCGCUGUCUCCACCUUCUGGCCAAACUACUACCAGGUUGUGUUCGAGGCCGUCAGCACCGGUCACAGAGGAGUUCUGGCCAUCAAGGACAUCACACUACAGGGACACCAGUGCA
Paralichthys olivaceus (Japanese flounder) is the source of this 362-nucleotide non-coding RNA. Lineage: Eukaryota; Metazoa; Chordata; Actinopteri; Pleuronectiformes; Paralichthyidae. The record is from RefSeq and is a predicted model, not a curated record.